Girardinichthys multiradiatus is the source of this 189-nucleotide long non-coding RNA. RefSeq lists it as uncharacterized. Lineage: Eukaryota; Metazoa; Chordata; Actinopteri; Cyprinodontiformes; Goodeidae. The record is from RefSeq and is a predicted model, not a curated record. The transcript is spliced from 3 exons.
UGCAUCAUAGGUAACGUCUUGGAUUCCUCUCCACAUCUUCAAGCAGAAGGCACUGAAUGUAAUGCAGGGAUAUUUAAAACACCAAAGACAUAGUAGGAAACUAUAUGAGUCCUCCACCUCCUGCAGCUAUUACCUGCCUAGCAAGUCAUGCUACAGCACUGCCACACAUGCUGCUGAUGCCACUCUCCC